UAAGCAUUAUACCGUGAAACUGCGAAUGGCUCAUUAAAUCAGUUAUCGUUUAUUUGAUAGUACCUUACUACUUGGAUAACCGUGGUAAUUCUAGAGCUAAUACAUGCUGAAAACCCCAACUUCGGAAGGGGUGUAUUUAUUAGAUAAAAAACCAACGCCCUUCGGGGCUUCUUGGUGAUUCAUGAUAACUUUACGGAUCGCAUGGCCUUGCGCCGGCGACGGUUCAUUCAAAUUUCUGCCCUAUCAACUUUCGAUGGUAAGGUAUUGGCUUACCAUGGUUUCAACGGGUAACGGGGAAU
Molecule: ribosomal RNA, 299 nt
Filed under: uncultured fungus
Lineage: Eukaryota; Fungi
Description: partial 18S ribosomal RNA
Rfam family: Eukaryotic small subunit ribosomal RNA
Source: RNAcentral